RNAcentral lists this ribosomal RNA (32 nucleotides) under Boeremia exigua var. exigua. RNAcentral describes it as "partial 18S ribosomal RNA". Lineage: Eukaryota; Fungi; Ascomycota; Dothideomycetes; Pleosporales; Didymellaceae. The record is from RNAcentral.
UUCCGUAGGGGAACCUGCGGAAGGAUCAUUAC